GACGAACGCUGGCGGCGUGCUUAACACAUGCAAGUCGAGCGGAAAGGCCCUUCGGGGUACUCGAGCGGCGAACGGGUGAGUAACACGUGAGCAACCUGCCCUUGGCUUUGGGAUAACCCUCGGAAACGGGGGCUAAUACCGGAUAUCCACUUCUCGUCGCAUGGUGGUUGGUGGAAAGUUUUUCGGCCAGGGAUGGGCUCGCGGCCUAUCAGCUUGUUGGUGGGGUGAUGGCCUACCAAGGCGACGACGGGUAGCCGGCCUGAGAGGGCGACCGGCCACACUGGGACUGAGACACGGCCCAGACUCCUACGGGAGGCAGCAGUGGGGAAUAUUGCACAAUGGGCGGAAGCCUGAUGCAGCGACGCCGCGUGAGGGAUGACGGCCUUCGGGUUGUAAACCUCUUUCAGCAGGGACGAAGCGAAAGUGACGGUACCUGCAGAAGAAGCGCCGGCCAACUACGUGCCAGCAGCCGCAGUAAAAC
This 481-nucleotide ribosomal RNA is filed under the name uncultured bacterium. RNAcentral's name for it is "bacterial SSU rRNA". It matches the Rfam family "Bacterial small subunit ribosomal RNA", at positions 28 to 526 of the family's 1533-position model. The record is from RNAcentral.